AUUGAACGCUGGCGGCAGGCCUAACACAUGCAAGUCGAGCGGAUGAAGGGAGCUUGCUCCUGGAUUCAGCGGCGGACGGGUGAGUAAUGCCUAGGAAUCUGCCUGGUAGUGGGGGAUAACGUCCGGAAACGGGCGCUAAUACCGCAUACGUCCUGAGGGAGAAAGUGGGGGAUCUUCGGACCUCACGCUAUCAGAUGAGCCUAGGUCGGAUUAGCUAGUUGGUGGGGUAAAGGCCUACCAAGGCGACGAUCCGUAACUGGUCUGAGAGGAUGAUCAGUCACACUGGAACUGAGACACGGUCCAGACUCCUACGGGAGGCAGCAGUGGGGAAUAUUCGACAAUGGGCGAAAGCCUGAUCCAGCCAUGCCGCGUGUGUGAAGAAGGUCUUCGGAUUGUAAAGCACUUUAAGUUGGGAGGAAGAGCAGUAAGUUAAUACCUUGCUGUUUUGACGUUACCAACAGAAUAAGCACCGGCUAACUUCGUG
RNAcentral lists this ribosomal RNA (484 nucleotides) under uncultured bacterium. RNAcentral's name for it is "partial 16S ribosomal RNA". It matches the Rfam family "Bacterial small subunit ribosomal RNA", at positions 30 to 507 of the family's 1533-position model. The record is from RNAcentral.